This 459-nucleotide ribosomal RNA is filed under the name uncultured bacterium. Its description in RNAcentral is "partial 16S ribosomal RNA". It matches the Rfam family "Bacterial small subunit ribosomal RNA", at positions 338 to 795 of the family's 1533-position model. The record is from RNAcentral.
CCUACGGGUGGCAGCAGUGAGGAAUAUUGGUCAAUGGGCGCGAGCCUGAACCAGCCAAGUCGCGUGCGGGAAGACGGUCCUAUGGAUUGUAAACCUCUUUUGUCGGGGAGCAAAAGACGCCACGCGUGCCGUUCCGAGUGUACCCGAAGAAAAAGCAUCGGCUAACUCCGUGCCAGCAGCCGCGGUAAUACGGAGGAUGCGAGCGUUAUCCGGAUUUAUUGGGUUUAAAGGGUGCGCAGGCGGCAGCUCAUGUCAGCGGUAAAAUUGUGGGGCUCAACCUCGUCGAGCCGUUGAAACUGGUGGUCUUGAGUGAGUGAGAAGUAGGCGGAAUGCGUGGUGUAGCGGUGAAAUGCAUAGAUAUCACGCAGAACUCCGAUUGCGAAGGCAGCAGACCGGGGCGCAACUGACGCUCAUGCACGAAAGUGUGGGUAUCGAACAGGAUUAGAUACCCGGGUAGUC